RNAcentral lists this ribosomal RNA (382 nucleotides) under uncultured Methanosaeta sp. RNAcentral's name for it is "bacterial SSU rRNA". It matches the Rfam family "Archaeal small subunit ribosomal RNA", at positions 957 to 1338 of the family's 1478-position model. Lineage: Archaea; Methanobacteriati; Methanobacteriota; Methanomicrobia; Methanotrichales; Methanotrichaceae. The record is from RNAcentral.
GGCCGAAGACUUUGCCGGAUUAGCUGAGAGGUGGUGCAUGGCCGUCGUCAGUUCGUACUGUGAAGCAUCCUGUUAAGUCAGGCAACGAGCGAGACCCACGCCCACAGUUGCCAGCGUACUCUCCGGAGUGACGGGUACACUGUGGGGACCGCCGCUGCUAAAGCGGAGGAAGGAAUGGGCAACGGUAGGUCAGUAUGCCCCGAACUAUCCCGGGCUACACGCGAGCUACAAUGGUUGGUACAAUGGGUAUCUACCCGAAAGGGGAUGGAAAUCUCCUAAAGCCAAUCUUAGUCCGGAUUGAGGGCUGCAACUCGCCCUCAUGAAGCUGGAAUCCGUAGUAAUCGCGUUUCAACAGAACGCGGUGAAUACGUCCCUGCUCCUU